This 18-nucleotide small RNA is filed under the name Arabidopsis thaliana (thale cress). RNAcentral's name for it is "ATSL253790". Lineage: Eukaryota; Viridiplantae; Streptophyta; Magnoliopsida; Brassicales; Brassicaceae. The record is from RNAcentral.
ACAGAGAAAUGGAAGAUA